GAAUGGUAAACUAGCCAUGUUGUCCUCCAAUGUGAAAGUCUCCAAGGCACAAUGCCAUCAACCCUCCUUUUUGCUUCAUUCUUUUGCAAGUUACACUCCAGGUAUGAUUUAUUUCUGGUUCAUUUCCUGUGACUCAGUUACACAGGAUGCAAAAUUAUGAUAAUAAUGCUUGUCUCCAGAUAAUGAAUAAGGGGUUUGGAUUUCUCAUUGCAGAGAUGUUAUACAAAUGGAAAGUAUCAUUACAGCUAAAAUCCAUGACUAAAGAAAUUAAAUUUCCUGGAAUGCUUUAUAUCUAACAAGAAUGUUUGUAAUCCUCUGUAUUUACCACUAAACGAGGUAGACUACAAGAAAGAAGAUAUUUAAAGAGGAGGAAUGAGUUCAAUGGGAAAAAUUAACAAAUAGGAAAAUUGCAGCACUGAAUUUUGUACUUUACUGAGAAAAAGGGUUUGGUAAACAUGCAACAGGAAACCUGCUUGAUUUCUGCAAGGGAAAUUUAACCAGCAACAGACUCAUGGAGAAUCUUCAAAGGAGAAGUUUCUAUACUUGUUUACCUUUUGAUAUGCGGCUGAAAAAGAACACUAUGCCUCAGCUUAAAAGGAGAGAUAUCGAGAAUAGUUUACCCAGUUCUGCAGAGAACUAAAUGCCUACCGGUGUACUGCAAAUGAAAAACUUUACGUAAAAAAAAGCUGCAAAAAAUACUAGAUAUUUGUGGGGUGGAAAGGAUGACAUAUCUUUAAUAAUUCCCCAAAUUUAGUUCCUUUUAUUGUUUCAUAAACACAUGAGGUCAUCACAUUCAGGGUUGUUUUGUUUUUUGUGGUUUUUUUUACUUUAUAUAUCAAAUGUAUUUUGAGGAGAUAAACUUCUGAGGAUGUUGUGAGACAGUCUUUCCAUACCUAUACCCAUCUCCCUUUUGGUUGUGAGGUACCAACUUCUGGCCUUCUGACAUCAGAACAGUGAGAGAAUUAAUUUUUCUGGAAAUCUCAUACAUUUAUGGCAUCAUGCAUGCUGAUUUAGAGGUGUUUCCCCAAUACAGGAAUAACUGGUUUCGCUUCAAGCUAUCAACCAGAGAAAUGUCAACUGCCCUCCCCGGCUUCAACAGAGUGAAGAAUUCCUGUGUGAGCCUCCCCUGCCCAACUGCCAGAAACAGGGUGGUAAUAAUUCACAGUUCCACCAGGGAAGUGGAUGUCUUCCUGUUUCCCCACAUUCUCAUCAGCCGAGAGGAUAAAUAAGAAACUUGUUUUAUGCCGCAUCUCCCUACAGUUGGCAGGGGAAGGAAGAGGAAGGUGGGACAUGACUGAAAUGCACGGCUAAACCCACCUGAGGAAGUCUUCCUGCUGCCCCUCCCCCUCCACCCUGGUCCCCCCAGCUCCCGACCUCCUGCCGGGGUCCCCUCUCUUUCUCUCUGUCCCCCUCUCAUGCAUCAUCAAAUGAUGCUUCCACCAAAAUAAAGAGUUGCCCAAGUAACCUGAGAGGCUUUUUUCCAGCUAUAUAAAUAAUGUAAAUGAUUCUCUUUUUUUCCCUUAAUGUCUGUGGGGUUGAUUUUCAUUUGUUGUUUGUUUUCUGGAAUUGUAAAAAAAAAAAAAACAAUCCUUUUCCAACUACCCUGCAAACAUUUAGGGGAAUUAGUUAUAGAGAUGCUCUUUUCUCCUUUAGCCAUUACCCAGA
Long non-coding RNA from Manis pentadactyla (Chinese pangolin), 1665 nucleotides. RefSeq lists it as uncharacterized. The record is from RefSeq and is a predicted model, not a curated record. Lineage: Eukaryota; Metazoa; Chordata; Mammalia; Pholidota; Manidae. The transcript has 3 exons.